Molecule: ribosomal RNA, 253 nt
Filed under: uncultured bacterium
Lineage: Bacteria
Description: partial 16S ribosomal RNA
Rfam family: Bacterial small subunit ribosomal RNA
Source: RNAcentral
UACGUAGGGUCCGAGCGUUGUCCGGAAUUACUGGGCGUAAAGCGCGCGCAGGCGGCUUCCCAAGCGCCACGUGAAAGCCCCGGGCUCAACCCGGGAGGGUCACGGCGAACUGGGAGGCUUGAGGCCGGUAGAGGUGGGUGGAACUGCGAGUGUAGAGGUGAAAUUCGUAGAUAUUCGCAAGAACACCAGUGGCGAAGGCGGCUCACUGGCCCGGUACUGACGCUGAGGUGCGAAAGCGUGGGGAGCAAACAGG